GUCGAGCGGCGGACGGGUGAGUAACGCGUAGGAACCUGCCUAAUAGAGGGGGAUAGCCCAGAGAAAUUUGGAUUAAUACCGCAUAAUGUCUACGGACCAAAGUAUGGGAUCUUCGGACCAUACGCUAUUAGAUGGGCCUGCGUCGGAUUAGCUAGUUGGUGAGGUAAUGGCUCACCAAGGCGACGAUCCGUAGCUGGUUUGAGAGGAUGAUCAGCCACACUGGAACUGAGACACGGUCCAGACUCCUACGGGAGGCAGCAGUGGGGAAUAUUGCACAAUGGGCGCAAGCCUGAUGCAGCCAUGCCGCGUGUGUGAAGAAGGCCUUAGGGUUGUAAAGCACUUUCAUUGGUGAGGAAAAGUUUAUCGUUAAUAGCGAUAAGCCGUGACGUUAACCAAAGAAGAAGGACCGGCUAACUCCGUGCCAGCAGCCGCGGUAAUACGGAGGGUCCGAGCGUUAAUCGGAAUUACUGGGCGUAAAGCGCGCGUAGGCGGUAUGUUAAGUUGGAUGUGAAAGCCCAGGGCUCAACCUUGGAACUGCAUCCAAAACUGGCAUACUAGAGUAUUGUAGAGGGGUGUGGAAUUUCAGGUGUAGCGGUGAAAUGCGUAGAGAUCUGAAGGAACAUCAGUGGCGAAGGCGACACCCUGGACAAAUACUGACGCUGAGGUGCGAAAGCGUGGGGAGCAAACGGGAUUAGU
This 696-nucleotide ribosomal RNA is filed under the name uncultured bacterium. RNAcentral describes it as "bacterial SSU rRNA". It matches the Rfam family "Bacterial small subunit ribosomal RNA", at positions 90 to 782 of the family's 1533-position model. The record is from RNAcentral.